CAGCAGCCGCGGGAAUACGUAGGGUGCGAGCGUUAAUCGGAAUUACUGGGCGUAAAGCGUGCGCAGGCGGUUGUGUAAGACAGGUGUGAAAUCCCCGGGCUUAACCUGGAACUGCGCUUGUGACUGCACAGCUAGAGUAUGGCAGAGGGGGGUGGAAUUCCACGUGUAGCAGUGAAAUGCGUAGAGAUGUGGAGGAACACCGAUGGCGAAGGCAGCCCCCUGGGCCAAUACUGACGCUCAUGCACGAAAGCGUGGGGAGCAAACAGGAUUAGAUACCCCAGUAGUCCCUGUCUCUUAUACC
This 301-nucleotide ribosomal RNA is filed under the name uncultured bacterium. RNAcentral describes it as "partial 16S ribosomal RNA". It matches the Rfam family "Bacterial small subunit ribosomal RNA", at positions 509 to 808 of the family's 1533-position model. The record is from RNAcentral.